Molecule: ribosomal RNA, 253 nt
Filed under: uncultured bacterium
Lineage: Bacteria
Description: partial 16S ribosomal RNA
Rfam family: Bacterial small subunit ribosomal RNA
Source: RNAcentral
UACGGAGGGUGCAAGCGUUAUCCGGAUUCACUGGGUUUAAAGGGUGCGUAGGUGGGUUGGUAAGUCAGUGGUGAAAUCUCCGAGCUUAACUUGGAAACUGCCAUUGAUACUAUCAGUCUUGAAUACCGUGGAGAUGGGCGGAAUAUGUCAUGUAGCGGUGAAAUGCUUAGAUAUGACAUAGAACACCAAUUGCGAAGGCAGCUCGUUACACGAAUAUUGACACUCAGGCACGAAAGCGUGGGGAUCAAACAGG